ACGAACGCUGGCGGCAUGCCUAACACAUGCAAGUCGAACGCGACCUUCGGGUCUAGUGGCGCACGGGUGCGUAACGCGUGGGAACCUGCCCUUAGGUUCGGAAUAACUCCCCGAAAGGGGUGCUAAUACCGGAUAAUGUCUUCGGACUAAAGAUUUAUCGCCUUUGGAUGGGCCCGCGUUGGAUUAGCUAGUUGGUAGGGUAAAAGCCUACCAAGGCGACGAUCCAUAGCUGGUCUGAGAGGAUGAUCAGCCACACUGGGACUGAGACACGGCCCAGACUCCUACGGGAGGCAGCAGUGGGGAAUAUUGGACAAUGGGCGAAAGCCUGAUCCAGCAAUGCCGCGUGAGUGAUGAAGGCCUUAGGGUUGUAAAGCUCUUUUACCCGGGAUGAUAAUGACAGUACCGGGAGAAUAAGCUCCGGCUAACUCCGUG
Molecule: ribosomal RNA, 432 nt
Filed under: uncultured bacterium
Lineage: Bacteria
Description: partial 16S ribosomal RNA
Rfam family: Bacterial small subunit ribosomal RNA
Source: RNAcentral